This 253-nucleotide ribosomal RNA is filed under the name uncultured bacterium. RNAcentral's name for it is "partial 16S ribosomal RNA". It matches the Rfam family "Bacterial small subunit ribosomal RNA", at positions 524 to 776 of the family's 1533-position model. The record is from RNAcentral.
UACGUAGGGACCAAGCGUUGUUCGGAUUUACUGGGCGUAAAGGGCGCGUAGGCGGCGCGGUAAGUCACUUGUGAAAUCUCUGAGCUUAACUCAGAACGGCCAAGUGAUACUGCAGUGCUAGAGUGUGGAAGGGGCAAUCGGAAUUCUUGGUGUAGCGGUGAAAUGCGUAGAGAUCCGGAAGAACACCGGUGGCGAAGGCGGUUAGCUGGGCAGUUGCUGACACUGAGGCGCGACAGCGUGGGGAGCAAACAGG